AUGGACGCAAGUCUGACGGAGCAACGCCGCGUGAGUGACGAAGGUUUUCGGAUCGUAAAACUCUGUUGUGAGGGAAGAACAAGUACCAAGUAACUACUGGUACCUUGACGGUACCUCACCAGAAAGCCACGGCUAACUACGUGCCAGCAGCCGCGGUAAUACGUAGGUGGCAAGCGUUGUCCGGAAUUAUUGGGCGUAAAGCGCGCGCAGGCGGUCCCUUAAGUCUGAUGUGAAAGCCCACGGCUCAACCGUGGAGGGUCAUUGGAAACUGGGGGACUUGAGUGCAGAAGAGGAAAGUGGAAUUCCACGUGUAGCGGUGAAAUGCGUAGAGAUGUGGAGGAACACCAGUGGCGAAGGCGACUUUCUGGUCUGUAACUGACGCUGAGGCGCGAAAGCGUGGGGAGCAAACAGGAUUAGAUACCCUGGUAGUCCACGCCGUAAACGAUGAGUGCUAAGUGUUAGGGGGUUUCCGCCCCUUAGUGCUGCAGCUAACGCAUUAAGCACUCCGCCUGGGGAGUACGGCCGCAAGGCUGAAACUCAAAGGAAUUGACGGGGGCCCGCACAAGCGGUGGAGCAUGUGGUUUAAUUCUAAGCAACGCGAAGAACCUUACCAGGUCUUGACAUCCCGCUGACCGCCUUAGAGAUAAGGCUUUCCCUUCGGGGACAGCGGUGACAGGUGGUGCAUGGUUGUCGUCAGCUCGUGUCGUGAGAUGU
RNAcentral lists this ribosomal RNA (714 nucleotides) under Planomicrobium sp. HZBN112. RNAcentral's name for it is "bacterial SSU rRNA". It matches the Rfam family "Bacterial small subunit ribosomal RNA", at positions 371 to 1075 of the family's 1533-position model. The record is from RNAcentral. Lineage: Bacteria; Bacillati; Bacillota; Bacilli; Caryophanales; Caryophanaceae.